UGCAAGUCGAACGGAAAGGCCCUUCGGGGUACUCGAGUGGCGAACGGGUGAGUAACACGUGGGUGAUCUGCCCUGCACUUUGGGAUAAGCCUGGGAAACUGGGUCUAAUACCGAAUACACCCUGCUGGUCGCAUGGCCUGGUGGGGGAAAGCUUUUGCGGUGUGGGAUGGGCCCGCGGCCUAUCAGCUUGUUGGUGGGGUGAUGGCCUACCAAGGCGACGACGGGUAGCCGGCCUGAGAGGGUGACCGGCCACACUGGGACUGAGAUACGGCCCAGACUCCUACGGGAGGCAGCAGUGGGGAAUAUUGCACAAUGGGCGCAAGCCUGAUGCAGCGACGCCGCGUGGGGGAUGACGGCCUUCGGGUUGUAAACUCCUUUCGCCAGGGACGAAGCGCAAGUGACGGUACCUGGAGAAGAAGGACCGGCCAACUACG
This 434-nucleotide ribosomal RNA is filed under the name Mycobacterium sp. RNAcentral's name for it is "bacterial SSU rRNA". It matches the Rfam family "Bacterial small subunit ribosomal RNA", at positions 56 to 505 of the family's 1533-position model. Lineage: Bacteria; Bacillati; Actinomycetota; Actinomycetes; Mycobacteriales; Mycobacteriaceae. The record is from RNAcentral.